UUCAGUUCAGUCUAAUCGAAUCAGCCGUGUAGAUAAGACGUUCAUGCUGCUUUGCGAUAACUUCCAAAUCGUGCUCUGGACUGAAGUACGGUAGCCUGUUUUGAAUCCGAAUUUUUCAAAAUGCAUGUUCUUGUUCAGUAAUUGACUAUAGUCUAUUACCGGUGGCGCAUGUACGUAGCAGCAAUCUUGGCCCACGGAAAUUAUAAAUUGUUCCAGUCUUCAAGCUAUCGUUCCACAUGUGAGCCUUUAUUGUAGGUAUCGGAGGACUACGAGCGAUUCAGUUAAUAUUGAUUUCCUGUAAUAAGAUUCUCUUGAACAAAUAAUACAGUGGAAAUUAAUAUUCUGUUCUACCUAAAUCCACAAUUUAUUGAAAAAAAAUUAAAAGAAAAUCGUGAAUAAAAUCUGAAGAAAAAAGAUCUCAGAAUAGGAAAAUACGAAAAUGUAUUUUGUUUCUCUGGCCACAUUACAUCGUCAUGAUUGAUUAAUUUGAAAUAGUCAUUUUAUGAAUGAAUAACUAAUGCUUGAUCUUCCAUGCACUUUGACUCGAGAGCCCUGCUCUUUUACUCAUAUUCUUAUUCAUUAUCCCAACUCAACGCAAUACCGUGUUUUUUGAGAUUCAUACAUCAAGCCGGUUUCCGCUGUUCCUUGUUUGUUUUCGAGACUUGAUUAAAGAUUUAAAGUCAGCUGUCUGAUCUUCCGUGAUAUCUGAAUGGAUUGAGAAAUAAUUACCUUCACCUCUUGUAUCAGUUACUUAUAAGAUACAACCAUCACAGUACGCUCUUCAAAAAUACUAAGAAGAAAAAUGUUUCUGAUACUACAAAAUCAUCAUUUUAAAGAAUGAUCUUCCUUGCACUUGUGGAAGUAAAUGCUUGGAAAGGUAAUCUUCUCCCCGAGUAUUGUGCAAAGAACCUUGAUUCAACAUCUUACUGUCACCUGUCAACUCUAAAACUUUACUCCUUCAAUCUGCUGAUUGUCUACUUUUCUUCAAUAUUAUUCCACACGCUCCAGUCACGUCACAAGAACUUCUGGCUGCUGGUGAGUAGUGAAAUAGAAACUACUCUUUAGCAAUCAUCUCUACAAACUGCUAUCAAUCUUCACGACGUCAUUCUUCAUCUUCGAGAACAUCAGCGAAAAACUUUUUUGUAAUAGGCCUACUUAUAUUAUUAGUUAUAAACUGCCUAACGAGAUGGGUGAAAAUUAUCGACGGUUUUCACUAUAGUAAUGCAAUGAAUGAAAUUAAUUAUAGUUAUAUUUAUUUCAUCACUUGAGAAUGGCUUAAUUGUACUGGUGCCGACUCCAUAUAAGGUCUGAAUCGGCUGGAUCCAAAAAAUAUGGGGGGCGGAGUCAACCUAAAAUUUUGACCAAUUACUGGAAACCGGAAAUAGCAUUUCAACCUAUCUACUAAUACUGUAUCUAUUAAAAGUUAAACGUAUAGUUGAUUGGUUUACUGUUAAUUAUAACACUUUUAGUGUCAUUUGCAAAGUGCCAGUUUGAACGGAAUAUUAAACCACUACCGGCUGAACAAAUUCAGUUGAAGCUUAAUAAUAUUAAUAUCAAACCACCAGCUGAUGAAAAUCAGCUAAAAUCUUUCACUGUGACGACCCUUAAUGUUUUUAUAACAGAAAAAUUACAAUGAGCCGUCUUCACUCAGUUGAAUGGAUACUUCAAGAGAAAAUCCUUAAAACAAAUUUUCUAUGCUCAUUAGAAAGUUUUAAUCCUAUUUUAGUGAAAAUUCAAUUGUUAAUCAGCAUUAAUGACUGUCGAUUCUCUAAAACCAACAACAAUUCAUAUAAUUACAAUACCAAUUUAAAAUUCCGACUACACCCAACUGCCUCUCAAACCAAGUUUUCGUUUAUGGUAAAAUUAAUUUUAAAAUUCUUAAAUUACAAAAUUUUCCGGUGGGAGGACCCGUGGGCUCUCCUUAUUAGACUAUAUCAAAAUAUGUUCCAACCUCUUAUUUUUCUGAUAGCCAUUUUUACUUUGCUCGCCCUACCUACUACCAUAGAUAAGUUCUUUUGAAAAAAAAUCAAGGUACCCCAAUUUCUAGUUUUCUAUACGUUUACAUAAUGUCCCUGAGUCCAAGAACAUGAUUUUUGGGUGUUGUUCUCUGUGUGCGUGCGUGUGUGUGUGUGUCUGUGAACACAAUAACUCAAUUCAUAAUUAACUGAUUGACUUGAAAUUUUCCUUACGUUCCCCAGCGUUUUUCAUGCGUUUCAUCGGAUUUUGAAAGAACUAAUUAAGAGAAAAUGUACCAAUUCAGUACAUAUAGGCUCAGCUAAGGUGUACAAUAUUGUAUAAGGUGUUGUUGCUGAACGACUUGAAAAUUACGCGAAAGACACACCCAAAUUUGGUGCUUUCCAGCGUUAAUCAGCUACGUUUUUUUUCAACUUUACCCAGCUUGUUCGAGAAAAAAUGAACAGAACACUUUUAGAUGGGCAUAUGUUGGAACAAAGGUUCUACAGAGGUUCAGUUAGUCUAGAAAGAUUGUGUAAGAGAGCUUCUGCCAAAGGGUUUUCAGGGAUGAGUGAGCUUAUGUCUAACUCAAUAAAGUUUACACAAUUUCUGUUUGGGUAAUGGCGGUGCUACUUUUGCUUCCUUCUACAGUUUUUCAAUGCAUUCUCCUAGAUUUUUAAAGUAGAGUGUAAUGUAUGUUUUGUAAGUUCGGUACAUAUUCGGUACUUUGUUUCAAAGAAAUGCAAUAAUUAUCACAUCUUAAUCACUUCAAGUAGGAAACUAUAUUCAUAAUCAAAAUGAACAGAUAUUUUUUCAAUCCUGUUGAAAUUGUUUCAAUGGAUAUAGGAAACGUUCAUAUUCGGUACAGAGGCUCAGCUAGCGUCUAAAAACUUUUUAUAGUAGGAGCUUCAUAAGUUCGCUAGCAUUACAUCCAGAAUCGGCGUAUUCCUGCGUGGUCUCAGUCAACUUUGGUGAUUAAUUUAGCCUAAAAGUCUGUAUUUGACGGGAGGAAGCAAGCUCAAAUGAAGAUUUCAGGCGAGCGAAGCGAGUCUCCUGUUCUCAUUUCUGGAUGAUUUCGGGGGUCCAGACGAAUAAGGCGAGCAAAGCGAGCCUACCGGCAAGUGAUGCAUAAAUUUAAUGUAUGUCUAUACAUGCGUUAAUUUGCGUAGAGAAAUAUAAAAUUUGAUAAAUCCAGGAUGAGUAUUUUUUUAAAAUGCGCUUGAAAAACCACGUGGAUUUUUCGUAAAUGAUAAGUAAAUUACAUGUCUAUAGUCUACACACAAAUAGUUUAUGUGGUAUUCACAUAAAUACGAUUGCAAUACCAGGUUAAUAUACAUUACAUUUUAUAAAACCACUUCACUUAUAUGGGCUACUUUAUUGAAAUUAAUAAAAAUAACAGUAUAAAAACAUGAAGUACCCUUUGUAUUUAUUAAGAACAUGGAUGCAUAAAUUAUUUCUCCCAAAAAUUAAACAUUUAAAACAUUUUAAAACUUCAAAACAUUUCAACAACUAGUUUCGGCCUAUUUUGGCCAUUUUCAAGUUUAAAUAUAUUAGUCCGGAACUAGUUAUUGAAAUGUUUUUAAAGUUUUAAAAUGUUUUAAAUAAAAAGGGUACCUACUUCAUGUUUUAUAUUGUUUUUAUUAACAUACAUUUUAUAAGAUUGGGAAAUUUGAUGUUCAUACACACGUAUAAUGUUUGCAGUGUUUACAUCAUCUUCAAAUUAUUUGAUUGGUUGCAGAAUUUUGUUGAUGCAUUCGUUUUGGGUGUUUAGGAGUUUGGUGGAGUAUUCAUAAAGGAAAAGACUGUUUUUUAAUGAUAUUAAUAUUUAUUGACAACUCAUUUAUUGUCAUUGAGCUUAUGAGCGCAUAUUGACUUGUGAUUAUACAGAGAGUGCUUCGAGAGGAUCAGUCAAACAUCUUAGUAUGGUCCUGUCGUACAUUACAUCACAUACUAGUGGAAAAGCUUCAUAUUGGAUAGGCUAUAAUACUGGAAAUGCUCUGUUCAAGAUAACUAUGACGGUAGAUUGUAUAAAUCUUCCACCAAGUCUACAAUACAAUAUUUUUUCAAUAACGAUAAUGAUUUUCAGGAUUUGGAAUGUAAAAUAAAUAAUAAAGUUCUAAUGUUCUAGAUUAUAAUAUAGACAGGAUGGUAGGAACUGAAUAUUAAACUGAGGGAAUUGCUAAAAAAAGUUACCGUGAAUGAAAUAUAAUUUAAUAAGAUAUCUCUAGGAAAUUUGAAAAUAAUAGAAUAGAAUAUUUUAUUUUGCCAAAUACAAGAUACAUAAGACAAAAUGUAAAUUAUAAUAAAUCUUUGGCACAGACAGCAAAGUCAGACUUGUGCGCUAACUCUGAGUUCGUAAAGAUAACAGUACAAAGUAAAAGAAUACUGAAACAUGAAAAAACAACAAAACAAGAUAAAUGAAAAUAAAAAUUAGCAUACUAAUAUAGUAAUUCUAAUAAAUAACAAUGAUAACGAAUAUAAAAGAUAACUAUACAACAUGCAAAGUAGCUUUAACAUUGAAAAUACUAAAUUAACUUAUUAUGAGAAAAUAUAUUUAUUAAAAUUAUUCCUUUCCAAAUCAUAAUAAUAUGAGUUGCGCUUGAAUUAUAAAUGAAUAGAUAUGCAAAAAUAAAAAAAAAAAUUGAUACUAGUUAAUAGCAAAAUAUUUUAUAUAUUUUGUUCGUGAGUGGUAUGAAGGAGGAACAGAGAUUGAAACAAAUAAUAGAGGGAGACAGAGUGAUGAUAGCCAGGUCCUGCAUGCGACACCAGAAUGGGGCAGCAGGGUGGCUGAUGAUUGACAGGUCCCUAUUGUCUAUGGCACUGAGUCACCUUUUUCUGUUUACAUCUCUAGGGUCUUCUAGAAAGAACUGGCUACUUCUGGAUUGUUUAUUGUGUGAAUAAUAGGGAAGAAGCCUCCACUCUUCUGGAUUAAAAACGUUGGGGUAUAUAUAGAGGGAUCGCUCGCCGAGUCAUUUUUCUAAUGUUGAUGAACAAAAAUGUAAUGUUGUUGAAACAAUGGUACUGUUAUGGAAUCAACACAUGUUCGUGAGUGGUAUGAAGGAGGAACAGAGAUGGAAACAAAUAGAGGGAGACAGAGUGAUGAGAGCCAGGUCCUGCAGAGCCGGUAUAGCAUUAUAUCUUGUCCUGAAAUAUCUUGGUAGGGUAGUCAAACCAGUUUUUUUUACUACUAUGUCACAGAGUCCAAGUCUCAACGUCUCUACGUCACUGAAAUAUUCUAAAUAACUUCAAUUUGAUUAGUAUAAGUAUUCUAAACCUAUUACCUCUGAUUUAAUAUUUCUAUUAGAGUGUGAAUUUUGUUGCUCACCACCAGUUAUCAGCAGUUAUCUACAGUAACCGGUAGCCAUCAUGACAUUUUGUUGGUGUCACUUCUCUCUGCUCAUCUCUAAUCUGCUCAUACACAAGUACAAUCAUUUGCAAUGCUGCUCAACGUCCCAGUUCCAUAAAAUCCAUUUCUCAGGAAAUGUCAAGUCGGCCUCGCAUAUUGUUGGGUUUGAGGGCUUGUGCGUGUGUGGGUAGCCGCUGAACAAUAAACUGUCAAUGUAGUGGUGGGGACAUAAUAUUUCAGUGACGUAGAGACGUUGAGACUUGGACUCUGUGACAUAGUAGUAAAAAAAACUGGUUUGACUACCCUACCAAGAUAUUGUAGGGUAUUAGGGUAUUAGUAGUAUGGAAAGAUACCUAGGAGUCAAACCAGUUUUUUUUACUACUAUGUCACAGAGUCCAAGUCUCAACGUCUCUACGUCACUGAAAUAUUAUGUCCCCACCACUACAUUGACAGUUUAUUGUUCAGCGGCUACCCACACACGCACAAGCCCUCAAACCCAACAAUAUGCGAGGCCGACUUGACAUUUCCUGAGAAAUGGAUUUUAUGGAACUGGGACGUUGAGCAGCAUUGCAAAUGAUUGUACUUGUGUAUGAGCAGAUUAGAGAUGAGCAGAGAGAAGUGACACCAACAAAAUGUCAUGAUGGCUACCGGUUACUGUUGAUAACUGCUGAUAACUGCUGAUAACUGCUGGUGGUGAGCAACAAAAUUCACACUCUAAUAGAAAUAUUAAAUCAGAGGUAAUAGGUUUAGAAUACUUAUACUAAUCAAAUUGAAGUUAUUUAACAAUAGAGAACAGAAUAAUAAAGGCUACAGUUAAAAUGCACUAGGCCUAUGUAGCUUUUGCUGUUGAUUUGAGUUGCAAGAAUGAACUGAAGUAGCUUACUAAGUGGAACAACCUGAACACUGAACACUGAUGUUCUCAUAGUUAUACCUACCCUACCUAACGUACCCCAGCUAACCUACCCUACCUAACCUGCCUUACAGUUCAAAUUCCACAGAUAGAUGCCUGAUUGGAGGUAGUUGUAGGGAUUGCUCUUCUUUUACAUCAUAAUGAUAAAUUUACAGAAAAGAAAGAAAAUUUACCUUUGAACGUAAAUGAAGAUGCAUAUUAUAAGAUGCACUUUCAUCCUCAAUUUUUAUCUGGAGCUCAUGGUCAUUGUCAAGACAUUGUAUUGCUUCUAAAGACACAUGGAAUAUUUUUCUUAACUUAUACUCAUCACAUCGUUUGCAUGUAUCCUUGUUUGGGGCAUGAAAGCAUAAAUUGUAUAAUGAGUUGAAAAUAAGUCCGUGAUAUCUCAAACUUGAGUAUCCAACUGGAAAUUCAUGGCCAGAAAGGCUGUUAGUUGUUUGCUUCCAAAUGGAAUCUCAAAAACGAAAUGGCUAUUUGCUGUGUGAUUCCACAUGGAAUCUCAUGGCAGUCAAUUCAUCUCUCUACAUUA
RNAcentral lists this long non-coding RNA (6738 nucleotides) under Nilaparvata lugens (brown planthopper). RNAcentral's name for it is "uncharacterized LOC111062824". Lineage: Eukaryota; Metazoa; Arthropoda; Insecta; Hemiptera; Delphacidae. The record is from RNAcentral.